This 74-nucleotide transfer RNA is filed under the name Massilia atriviolacea. Its description in RNAcentral is "Massilia sp. SOD tRNA-Cys". It matches the Rfam family "tRNA". From Rfam's summary of the family: Transfer RNA (tRNA) molecules are approximately 80 nucleotides in length. Their secondary structure includes four short double-helical elements and three loops (D, anti-codon, and T loops). Lineage: Bacteria; Pseudomonadati; Pseudomonadota; Betaproteobacteria; Burkholderiales; Oxalobacteraceae. The record is from RNAcentral.
GGCGGAGUAGCAAAAUGGCAAUGCACCAGCUUGCAACGCUGGGGAAGCCGGUUCGAUUCCGGCAUCCGCCUGCA